AACGAACGCUGGCGGCAUGCCUAACACAUGCAAGUCGAACGAGACCUUCGGGUCUAGUGGCGCACGGGUGCGUAACGCGUGGGAACCUGCCCUUAGGUUCGGAAUAACUCCCCGAAAGGGGUGCUAAUACCGGAUAAUGUCUUCGGACCAAAGAUUUAUCGCCUUUGGGUGGGCCCGCGUUGGAUUAGCUAGUUGGUAGGGUAAAAGCCUACCAAGGCGACGAUCCAUAGCUGGUCUGAGAGGAUGAUCAGCCACACUGGGACUGAGACACGGCCCAGACUCCUACGGGAGGCAGCAGUGGGGAAUAUUGGACAAUGGGCGAAAGCCUGAUCCAGCAAUGCCGCGUUAGUGAUGAAGGCCUUAGGGUUGUAAAGCUCUUUUACCCGGGAUGAUAAUGACAGUACCGGGAGAAUAAGCUCCGGCUAACUCCGUG
RNAcentral lists this ribosomal RNA (433 nucleotides) under uncultured bacterium. RNAcentral's name for it is "partial 16S ribosomal RNA". It matches the Rfam family "Bacterial small subunit ribosomal RNA", at positions 29 to 507 of the family's 1533-position model. The record is from RNAcentral.